Eurytemora carolleeae is the source of this 134-nucleotide long non-coding RNA. RefSeq lists it as uncharacterized. The record is from RefSeq and is a predicted model, not a curated record. The transcript has 3 exons. NCBI's taxonomy places the organism in Eukaryota, Metazoa, Arthropoda, Copepoda, Calanoida, Temoridae.
GAUUAUCUCGGUAAAUCAGUUUCUUAAACCUCUAAUAGCAGAUUAUCUCGGAUCUAGGGAGAACCCGCUUAGGAUUGAGUUGCUUUGUGGAAGUAUUUCUGAUUUGGAUUCAAGGCUACGAGAUAUUGAAGCCG